UACGGGGGGGGCAAGCGUUGUUCGGAAUUACUGGGCGUAAAGGGCUCGUAGGCGGCCAACUAAGUCAGACGUGAAAUCCCUCGGCUUAACCGGGGAACUGCGUCUGAUACUGGAUGGCUUGAGUUUGGGAGAGGGACGCGGAAUUCCAGGUGUAGCGGUGAAAUUCGUAGAUAUUCGCAAGAACACCAGUGGCGAAGGCGGCUCACUGGCCCGAUACUGACGCUGAUGCACGAAAGCGUGGGGAGCAAACAGG
This 253-nucleotide ribosomal RNA is filed under the name uncultured bacterium. RNAcentral's name for it is "partial 16S ribosomal RNA". It matches the Rfam family "Bacterial small subunit ribosomal RNA", at positions 524 to 776 of the family's 1533-position model. The record is from RNAcentral.